AGUGAACGCUGGCGGUAGGCCUAACACAUGCAAGUCGAACGGCAGCACAGUAAGAGCUUGCUCUUACGGGUGGCGAGUGGCGGACGGGUGAGGAAUACAUCGGAAUCUACUUUUUCGUGGGGGAUAACGUAGGGAAACUUACGCUAAUACCGCAUACGACCUACGGGUGAAAGCAGGGGAUAUUCUGACCUUGCGCGAUUGAAUGAGCCGAUGUCGGAUUAGCUAGUUGGCGGGGUAAAGGCCCACCAAGGCGACGAUCCGUAGCUGGUCUGAGAGGAUGAUCACCCACACUGGAACUGAGACACGGUCCAGACUACUGCGGGAGGCAGCAGUGGGGAAUAUUGGACAAUGGGCGCAAGCCUGAUCCAGCCAUACCGCGUGGGUGACGAAGGCCUUCGGGUUGUAAAGCCCUUUUGUUGGGAAAGAAAAGCAGCAGGUUAAUACCACGCUGUUCUGACGGUACCCAAAGAAUAAGCACCGGCUAACUUCGUG
Molecule: ribosomal RNA, 492 nt
Filed under: uncultured bacterium
Lineage: Bacteria
Description: partial 16S ribosomal RNA
Rfam family: Bacterial small subunit ribosomal RNA
Source: RNAcentral